CACGUAGGGUGCGAGCGUUGUCCGGAAUUAUUGGGCGUAAAGAGCUCGUAGGCGGUGUGUCGCGUCGGCCGUGAAAACCUGUAGCUUAACUGUGGGCUUGCGGUCGAUACGGGCAUCACUGGAGUUCGGAAGGGGAGACUGGAAUUCCUGGUGUAGCGGUGAAAUGCGCAGAUAUCAGGAGGAACACCGGUGGCGAAGGCGGGUCGCUGGGCCGAUACUGACGCUGAGGAGCGAAAGCGUGGGGAGCGAACAGG
RNAcentral lists this ribosomal RNA (254 nucleotides) under uncultured bacterium. Its description in RNAcentral is "partial 16S ribosomal RNA". It matches the Rfam family "Bacterial small subunit ribosomal RNA", at positions 524 to 776 of the family's 1533-position model. The record is from RNAcentral.